UUUGUUGAAGCUAAUAUGAAAUAGCGCAUCUUUGUUAAUGAUGAGAAAGGAGGUUAAAACCCUCUCGGCAAAG
Molecule: transfer RNA, 73 nt
Filed under: Leptestheria dahalacensis
Lineage: Eukaryota; Metazoa; Arthropoda; Branchiopoda; Diplostraca; Leptestheriidae
Description: tRNA-Asn
Rfam family: tRNA
About the family: Transfer RNA (tRNA) molecules are approximately 80 nucleotides in length. Their secondary structure includes four short double-helical elements and three loops (D, anti-codon, and T loops). Further hydrogen bonds mediate the characteristic L-shaped molecular structure. tRNAs have two regions of fundamental functional importance: the anti-codon, which is responsible for specific mRNA codon recognition, and the 3' end, to which the tRNAs corresponding amino acid is attached (by aminoacyl-tRNA synthetases). tRNAs cope with the degeneracy of the genetic code in two manners: having more than one tRNA (with a specific anti-codon) for a particular amino acid; and 'wobble' base-pairing, i.e. permitting non-standard base-pairing at the 3rd anti-codon position.
Source: RNAcentral